RNAcentral lists this ribosomal RNA (778 nucleotides) under uncultured Neocallimastigales. RNAcentral's name for it is "partial large subunit ribosomal RNA". It matches the Rfam family "Eukaryotic large subunit ribosomal RNA", at positions 23 to 642 of the family's 3401-position model. The record is from RNAcentral. Lineage: Eukaryota; Fungi; Neocallimastigomycota; Neocallimastigomycetes; Neocallimastigales.
AGAGAGAGACAUGCGCGCAUAUCAAUAAGCGGAGGAAAAGAAACUAACAAGGAUUCCCUUAGUAACGGCGAGUGAAGCGGGAAGAGCUCAAAUUUGAAAUCUUCAAGGUUCUACCUUGACGAAUUGUAGUUUAUAGAAGUGUUUUCUGUUAGUGGAGUGGCAAAAGUUCUUUGGAAUAGGACAUCAUAGAGGGUGAGAAUCCCGUAUUUGGUCAUUCCUCCUAGCGUUGUGAUACACUUUCAACGAGUCGGAUUGUUUGGGAAUGCAGUCCAAAAUGGGUGGUAAAUUUCAUCUAAAGCUAAAUAUUGGCGAGAGACCGAUAGCGAACAAGUACCGUGAGGGAAAGAUGAAAAGAACUUUGAAAAGAGAGUUAAACAGUACGUGAAAUUGUCAAAAGGGAAGCGUUUGACACCAGUCGUUGUUUUUCCGAAAAUCAAUUACGAAUGUUUUAGUUUUUGAGGAGUUAUGACUUCAUCGGCUUGCUCCUUUCUUUACUGAAACUUUCUUAAUGCACUUUUCGGUUAACAAGUCAACAUCAAUUUCUUUUGUUGUAAAAGGGUAUGAGGAAGGUGGCUUUCUUUUCGGAGAAAGUGUUUAUAGCCUUGUGCCUCUGCAAUCGGAGAGAUUGAGGUCUGCAGCGUAGAUCCUUCGGGGUUAGAUACGUUUGUGCUAAGUUAUAGCUUUUCAUAGACAACUUGUUGACUAUGUUUAGUCUUGUAGCUUACUCGCUUACUGCUAUUUUACCUACGCUUAGGAUGUUGAUAGUCACAGCGUGUAC